ACAAGUGCUCCUGGGGCUGCAAACACAGACGUCCCGGCUGCUUUUAGCAUCUCAGAAGCCCAAACCGGCUGUGACCAAUAUGGAGGCGACCUAACCCCCAAGCUGAGCUUUCUUUGUCUCCAGCAGGGCAGGCGCUGAGGACUUACACAAAAUAAACAUGCAUCAGUAUCCUCAAAGACAAGAGAAGAUUGAGAAAACGUGGAAGGUGGCAAAGGCUAAGGAGAAAUAACAACUGAAUGUAAAGUGGAUCCUGGAUCAGAAAAAAAGACAUUAGUGGGAAAAUGGCAGAAUUUCCAUUAAGAUCUGCAGCUCAAUUUAUAAUGUUGUACCACUGUGAAGUUCCUGUUCUCAAAAUAUCUACAAUUAGUUAUGUGGUUCCCUUUAGAGCAAGAGGGCUUGUGAGAUGUUAUAAAGACUGUCCAUGGCCUAUUGUUGUACCUCUUCUAUAAUAUGAAAGUGAGUUGACAACUCCUUCAGGGACAAUCACAUUCACACAUUCAAUGAAGACUUGAGACAAGGAUCCUACCGCACAUCCUAGGCUCCCCUUGUCACCUCUUCAGACUGGUGCCUUUUAGGAUGGAGAGGGGCUUCCUACAACUGCUGGUCUGAAGCCAUCGCCAGGUCAGGCACACCUUAAGAAAACCAAGAACAAAUGAGGAGGAAAAAAAUCACACUCAGCUACACAGCCAAACACAGCAAAAACAGCUACAAGGUCACUAGGAAGAAUGGGGACUAUCAUGGGCCUUUGGAUCACAGCCGUAGCCACCACUACGGCCAUGCCGGCCAGAUUUGAUGACCAGAUGCAGACACUACAGACUGCAUACACUAUGGACCGAAAUCCAAAUGGAGCGGAUAGGAAUGGGAUCUGAUGUGAGGCCAGACUUUGAGUCGGAGUUCCCUCUUGUCCAGCAAGAGAGUGGAUGCAGAAUUGAAUACGAGAGAGCUUAAUGUCCGGGAGGAGACAAGAGCCCCAAGAUCUGCAAAACGAGGACUGAGCAGAUCACCUCCACAUUUCUUCCACGCUACAAUUCUAUGAAUUGGAAAUGAAAUGGAACCUUCCCAGAACAUGGGUGAAACCCCUGCAGACAUGCUGGAUACCCUCCCGGGGUAGAGCCCUCAGCCCCACUGAAGGGUACUGGAAGGAGGAAGUAUAGGAUACCCGGCGGGGAAUCAAGUGGUUCCUGCAGGAUCAGUGCCUCCACAAUGACCAAGGUUUAGACCAAGACUUCAGGGUGCUAAAGGUGGUGAAGUAUCAAAAGGAAAACACAGAAAUGGACUUCCACUCCAACCAUGAUGGAGUCACAAGGACCAGAUUUACCUUUGCUGCUUCAACAAAUGAAAAACUGGAAAAAAUAAGUAAAACAACAUUUGAAAACAGGCAAAGCAGGGGGAAAAUCCCUGAGAGAAGGAGAAAAGGAGGGAAGUCCUGUGACUGUCCUAGUGUACUUCCUGUAGAGACUUUUGCAAGCCACAGCAGAGGAAAGGGUAAACUAAACAGUCUCCCUGAACUGAAAAGAUAAGAGUUGAGAAUUCAGGAAGGCCGAAGUGGCUAGAAUUCCAAGCAAUUAUACAGUCGAUAGAAUUCAUGGAAAAGGUUGUCAAAUAGGCUAUUCUAAAUAAAACUUCACGUAUUCAAGAAGACAGAAGGUGCUGUCAAAUGUGCAAGGAAGCCUCCUGAAAGGGAGGAGGGGCAUGGGAGGGUGCCAGUGAAGCUCUCAGAAUGAUGAGUGCCACUGGCUGCCCCAGCCGCCUGUGAGUGCUAUCAGAACUCACAAGAGAUUGUGUAUCCCACAUGUAUCCUGCUGGCUACGGUUCAUCAUCCGAGUAAGAAUGGAAAAGUGUUUCAGAACCAGGAAGAAAAGCCCCACUUUCAUGCAAUGUCUCUCCACUCCCAUCUAGUAAAAAGCUUAACACUAGCCCAGCUGUCAGUAGGGAAUGUUUACAUGGCUCAGCUCCAAUACUGCAAAGCAGGUCAAGGAAGGAUAGAUUUGCUAGGAAAUAAGUUGAUAAAGCACAAGAGUAUCCAAAACAUUAUAUCUUUUGAUUUCCACCUCUGACAAAGAAGAUUCAACCUGAAGGUUCACCAAAGAGAAACAGAGAUCUCUAUCAGCAUCAAUAAAAGGACAAUGAAAAUACAGCUCGUGAAUAGAAGCCCAACUCUCUUCAGAUUUUACCAGUAAGAUGUCACAUUUCCAUUCCUCUGUUUUUCCACAUUUAAUUUCUAGACUUAGAAAUAUCAUAAUUUGGAAAUUACAGUAAAGUAUAUAUGCUGGUCUUAA
Long non-coding RNA from Felis catus (domestic cat), 2279 nucleotides. RefSeq lists it as uncharacterized. Lineage: Eukaryota; Metazoa; Chordata; Mammalia; Carnivora; Felidae. The transcript has 9 exons. The record is from RefSeq and is a predicted model, not a curated record.